RNAcentral lists this ribosomal RNA (506 nucleotides) under Lactiplantibacillus plantarum. RNAcentral describes it as "bacterial SSU rRNA". It matches the Rfam family "Bacterial small subunit ribosomal RNA", at positions 154 to 646 of the family's 1533-position model. The record is from RNAcentral. Lineage: Bacteria; Bacillati; Bacillota; Bacilli; Lactobacillales; Lactobacillaceae.
AAACAGAUGCUAAUACCGCAUAACAACUUGGACCGCAUGGUCCGAGCUUGAAAGAUGGCUUCGGCUAUCACUUUUGGAUGGUCCCGCGGCGUAUUAGCUAGAUGGUGGGGUAACGGCUCACCAUGGCAAUGAUACGUAGCCGACCUGAGAGGGUAAUCGGCCACAUUGGGACUGAGACACGGCCCAAACUCCUACGGGAGGCAGCAGUAGGGAAUCUUCCACAAUGGACGAAAGUCUGAUGGAGCAACGCCGCGUGAGUGAAGAAGGGUUUCGGCUCGUAAAACUCUGUUGUUAAAGAAGAACAUAUCUGAGAGUAACUGUUCAGGUAUUGACGGUAUUUAACCAGAAAGCCACGGCUAACUACGUGCCAGCAGCCGCGGUAAUACGUAGGUGGCAAGCGUUGUCCGGAUUUAUUGGGCGUAAAGCGAGCGCAGGCGGUUUUUUAAGUCUGAUGUGAAAGCCUUCGGCUCAACCGAAGAAGUGCAUCGGAAACUGGGAAACUUGAG